Molecule: long non-coding RNA, 223 nt
Filed under: Lathyrus oleraceus (garden pea)
Lineage: Eukaryota; Viridiplantae; Streptophyta; Magnoliopsida; Fabales; Fabaceae
Description: Pisum sativum (pea) long non-coding RNA (PSAT_LNC003117)
Source: RNAcentral
UGAAAGUCAACAAGCAUAGGUCAACUUCAAAAAAUCAUAUCAAUUUGAAAACAGAAGAGAAAUGAAUGAUAUUAACACCAAUGCAAAGCUCAAGGGGUCUAGUUAUCACAUAUGAAAUUUCAUGGUCAUACAAUAAGAUUUGAGAAUUUCACAAAAGAUUUGGCAAUGCAUAGCACAAAAAGUCCACAAAUGACCAAGCAUGGAAGAAAAUUCUCAAUUAAAU